CUCCCCUUAGUUCAGCGGAUAGUAACAAUGGUCUUCUAAACCAUAAACCCCAGUUCGAGUCUGGGAGGGGAGA
Molecule: transfer RNA, 73 nt
Filed under: Crassvirales sp.
Lineage: Duplodnaviria; Heunggongvirae; Uroviricota; Caudoviricetes; Crassvirales
Description: tRNA-Arg
Rfam family: tRNA
About the family: Transfer RNA (tRNA) molecules are approximately 80 nucleotides in length. Their secondary structure includes four short double-helical elements and three loops (D, anti-codon, and T loops).
Source: RNAcentral